This 119-nucleotide ribosomal RNA is filed under the name Oncorhynchus mykiss (rainbow trout). Lineage: Eukaryota; Metazoa; Chordata; Actinopteri; Salmoniformes; Salmonidae. The record is from RNAcentral.
GCUUACGGCCACACCGGCCUGAGUACGCCUGAUCUCGUCCUGAUCUCGGAAGCUAAGCAGGGUCGGGCCUGGUAGUACUUGGAUGGGAGACCGCCUGGGAAUACCAGGUGCUGUAAGCU